AUGAAUUGCAAAGAAAAGUCUGCAUUACAAUCUCAGCACAUGGCUCACAUCAGUUGGAAACCGGCGCAAGAGGACUUCAUUACUCCCAAUGUGGAUGGCGUUGCAAAGAGCAGUGGCAGAGCUGGUUGUGAGGAACGUGGAUUGGAGGAUUUUCCAAGAAUAUUGGAGUAUGUAGCGCCUUUAUUGCAGAAUUGUUGGAAGAGGUUUUUUCAGGAUUGA
Non-coding RNA from Vicia faba (fava bean), 219 nucleotides. The record is from the annotation of a GenBank genome assembly. NCBI's taxonomy places the organism in Eukaryota, Viridiplantae, Streptophyta, Magnoliopsida, Fabales, Fabaceae.